CUCUGUCUCCCCAGUCCUUCCUAACAUAGCUGUUAGGUCUUUAACACUGUCUGUCAGUCUCUACCUCUGUCUCUGUCUCCCCAGUCCUUCCUAACAUAGCUGUUAGGUCUUUAACACUGUCUGUCAGUCUCUACCUCUGUCUCCCCAGUCCUUCCUAACAUAGCUGUUAGGUCUUUAACACUGUCUGUCAGUCUCUACCUCUGUCUUUGUCUCCCCAGUCCUUCCUAACAUAGCUGUUAGGUCUUUAACACUGUCUGUCAGUCUCUACCUCUCUUUGUCUCCCCAGUCCUUCCUAACAUAGCUGUUAGGUCUUUAACACUGUCUGGUAGUCUCUACCUCUGUCUCUGUCUCCCCAGUCCUUCCUAACAUAGCUGUUAGGUCUUUAACACUGUCUGUCAGUCUCUACCUCUGUCUCUGUCUCCCCAGCCCCUCCAAACAUAGCU
Molecule: long non-coding RNA, 443 nt
Filed under: Salmo salar (Atlantic salmon)
Lineage: Eukaryota; Metazoa; Chordata; Actinopteri; Salmoniformes; Salmonidae
Description: lncRNA (ENSSSAG00000091281.1)
Source: RNAcentral